UAGUCAUUCUGCUGUGAUUAGCACAUGGAGAGGGGUGGCUGCGGCUCACUCCUUUCUGUGUGGAAUCGCCAUCAAGAGAUUUCAGAAGCAUAAUUUUUGCAAAUGGGGAAGGAGGGCGGGGCUG
This 124-nucleotide small nuclear RNA is filed under the name Ophiophagus hannah (king cobra). RNAcentral's name for it is "U11 spliceosomal RNA". It matches the Rfam family "U11 spliceosomal RNA", at positions 5 to 119 of the family's 134-position model. Lineage: Eukaryota; Metazoa; Chordata; Lepidosauria; Squamata; Elapidae. The record is from Rfam by way of RNAcentral.